Molecule: long non-coding RNA, 1075 nt
Organism: Rosa chinensis
Lineage: Eukaryota; Viridiplantae; Streptophyta; Magnoliopsida; Rosales; Rosaceae
Exons: 4
Source: RefSeq, a predicted model, not a curated record
GAUCAGAAUGAUCUAGGAGGCACGAGAGAGAGAGAGAGAGCGAAUCAGCGAGAGCUGGGAGCUCUCCGACCCGGAAACGCGUCGCCGAACCGAGGGAGAACCCGACCAGAACGCCUUCCUCCGGCCACUACACAGCGGCAGACCACCAGAAAUAGAUUUGUCUCGUCGUCGCCGUCAUGCCUGUGGUCUUCGAUCGCCCAUACACCGAACAAUGAGGGAGAAUCGACGAUGAGAAGCAGCGCCUGCUCUAGCGGUUCUGUGGUGCUUUCCGGCGACUCCGGACACCAUCUGAGCUGUAUUUGGUAUGAAACCUCACCUCCUCGUCAUGCUCUACACCCCAGCAUACUUAGUUUUUGAGUUCGAGUCGGUUCUGAUAAAAUUGUGUUUUGGGGUGUUGUCGGAUUUCAUUGCGAUUCCGGUUUCCGGCGACGGUCGGAGUCUGAUUCAUCUCGGAUAGAAAAUCUGAAGUUUGGACUCGGAAGGGUGGUCAUUCGAGCUUAAUCUGCAGUGUCGGGCUGAGUUGAUCAACUCGAAAUUGAUUAAGCUGGUUCCGGCUUGCUGUGUUCGUCCGCCAGGGAGCAGACCUGCAAUAUGGGUUCCGUUCUUCAUCUACUUUGAUCACAAGGAAGGUGGCGGGUCAUUAAAAAAGACGCGGGGAUUUAAAAUUUUCUCCUCGUAAAAGGGAAAACGUGAUAAAAGAUUAGAAGUCGUGCCCAAAAUUAACAAGAUAAAUAGAUAGAAGUGUUGGCCGGCCAGAAUGAAAACGCAGACUCCAUCUCCUCGUCCUAUCUAUAACUCUAUUGUUCUCUGUGGUAGUAGAGCUUUAUUCUCUAUCGUAGGUUGGUGAAAGAGUAUUGGCGUUGAUCCAGAACAUCUUUUUGGGAAUAAGCAGAGCAUCUCAAUGCUUCCAAGUAAGGAAUAGGGUGGAGAUGUUAUACAGUGAAGUCUGGCAUUAGUAUCAUCCCUGAAACCAUCGAUAUCUGGACUUUGCCUUAUUAUUUUUCUUUACAAGAUCUUCAAAAGAAAAAAAAAAAAAAAAAAAGGACCAAGAUUCACUUUAGUACUUUGUUAUCAC